UGGGGAAUCUUGGACAAUGGGCGAAAGCCUGAUCCAGCCAUGCCGCGUGAAUGAUGAAGGCCUUAGGGUUGUAAAAUUCUUUCGCCAGGGACGAUAAUGACGGUACCUGGUAAAGAAGCCCCGGCUAACUUCGUGCCAGCAGCCGCGGUAAUACGAAGGGGGCUAGCGUUGUUCGGAAUUACUGGGCGUAAAGCGCACGUAGGCGGACGUUUAAGUCAGGGGUGAAAUCCCGAGGCUCAACCUCGGAACUGCCUUUGAUACUGGACGUCUAGAGGAUGGAAGAGGUGAGUGGAAUACCGAGUGUAGAGGUGAAAUUCGUAGAUAUUCGGUGGAACACCAGUGGCGAAGGCGACUCACUGGUCCAUUUCUGACGCUGAGGUGCGAAAGUGUGGGGAGCAAACAGGAUUAGAUACCCCCGUAGUCC
This 424-nucleotide ribosomal RNA is filed under the name uncultured prokaryote. RNAcentral describes it as "bacterial SSU rRNA". It matches the Rfam family "Bacterial small subunit ribosomal RNA", at positions 355 to 796 of the family's 1533-position model. The record is from RNAcentral.